CGCUACAUGCAAUAUUGUCGUAGCAUAGGCUAUAAUCUAAACGCGAUGAAGUUUAAAACAAAGUUAGGCUAGUUGUAGCCUAUCGCUGACUGCGGCGCCGCAUGUUCUUCAUAAAACUCGUUAUGCUAGCUGUGCCAUGAGAGGGUUAGACCAGUGCAAUACACACUAGGUUGAUAAAAUGUUCAGAGACGGGAAAUUAAUAUUGCUCGUUUAUUAAAACGUGCCUCUGCAGAGACAACACAACAACACCGCCUCCAACAGAACCCGAAGAGGACGUUGCAUCGCUUAUGUUCCCACAAAGCCUUGCAAGCGACCUUACAAUGAAAUUUAAUACGUUUUUUUACGUUUCGGCGCCAUUUUCGAUUGGGCUGGAGGUGUUUUGAAGGUCUUUCAUGACCACGCCCAUCAGCUGGCUGCUUGUAGCAUCCAUAUAGACCACAGGGAGCUGUUGCUCAGGCAGUUCUGCGGUGAAGGGCAGCGCGGUUUCGUGGCAGUCGCAGCCUCUGGGUGGGAACACGGAGAGACCGGAGGCGCAAGACGAGCAUCAGAGACCGCUCGCGCCCAGUGUUUGACACGACCGGAGAACAGGGAUGUGGGAUCUUGGUUGUCCACGAAGUCCCAGCAAUUACCCUUGAUCUCUGGGCUAAUUAGCUGUAUGCACCAAUGCAGAUUCACUCAAAUUAGACCGCAGUAAAAUGUUUCAUUUCGGCACUUAACAACAGCCUUUGGCCGUAAUUCACAAGCCAAUUGCUAAAUGUUGCUGAAAUGUCAGAUAAAUGAUUGGGUUAGUUAAUCAAGAGCAGACGUUGGGCUAAAAUUCAGAAACGGGACAGUCGUCCAGAAAAAGGGCUCCUCACCCCUGUGUUACCAACUGAAGCAGGGCUCCUAUAGAUUAACUCUUUUUUUUUGUACAUUUUUGUUUGCUCUUUAUCAGCCUGUGUCAGUCGUUUCCUGGCCUCCCGCAGCUCAGCGGUGACGUGUUGAGUCUGGCGAAAAACGGACGCGCACGUGCGAACGCACACACGUUUGUCGUUUUGUAGUAACGCCGCCGAUAGAGGCUGGUGAGGCCUGGUGAGAGGCGGUGUGCGGACCAGCCGUCACCGCAGACGCUGAAGCAUUUUACACGGCCGUGGCACUUGUGUGGGGGAGGGGAGUUUUCUCAUUGAGGUGGGGAGAGAUGUGUGUACACUCGGGACUUCCCCCUCCCGCACGGAUAGUCACCACAGAUGUAUUCGCACCCCCAACGCUGUCAACUGUACGGCGGGAGACGAAGCCAGCCGCGAUUGGUCCUUCAGCGCGUCCUCCGCUCCAGAAAUCUUAAAACCUGAAUAUGUGGUCUGCUGUAAUCGGCCCGUGCUUGGUGCGAUGUUCUCUGAAACAGAGCUGGCUCAACCGCUUUAAAAGCCUAAUUCAAGUGAGUGUUCAUCACUGCACAUGUACAGUUUGAGUGUGAAGAUAUUGAAAUUGU
Long non-coding RNA from Conger conger (European conger), 1468 nucleotides. RefSeq lists it as uncharacterized. The record is from RefSeq and is a predicted model, not a curated record. The transcript has 3 exons. NCBI's taxonomy places the organism in Eukaryota, Metazoa, Chordata, Actinopteri, Anguilliformes, Congridae.